Molecule: transfer RNA, 105 nt
Filed under: Xylaria venustula
Lineage: Eukaryota; Fungi; Ascomycota; Sordariomycetes; Xylariales; Xylariaceae
Description: tRNA-Pro
Rfam family: tRNA
About the family: Transfer RNA (tRNA) molecules are approximately 80 nucleotides in length.
Source: RNAcentral
GGCUCAAUGGUCUAGUGGUAUGAUUCCUGCUUCGGGCGCUACUCGAAGUCCUUCCAUCACACAUGGGAAUGCAGGAGGCCCCGGGUUCGAAUCCCGGUUGAGCCC